UCUGAAUCUUUUGGAGAUUUCCCCCAGAC
Molecule: non-coding RNA, 29 nt
Filed under: Rattus norvegicus (Norway rat)
Lineage: Eukaryota; Metazoa; Chordata; Mammalia; Rodentia; Muridae
Source: RNAcentral